RNAcentral lists this microRNA precursor (144 nucleotides) under Gossypium arboreum. RNAcentral's name for it is "MIR7502 microRNA precursor family". It matches the Rfam family "MIR7502 microRNA precursor family". Lineage: Eukaryota; Viridiplantae; Streptophyta; Magnoliopsida; Malvales; Malvaceae. The record is from Rfam by way of RNAcentral.
UAUUAAAAAUUCAAUCAUUUUUACUAUUAAACAUUGGUAUGGCUAAUAGAAUAACCAGACAGAUACACUUGAUGUGUCUUGUGUACUUUAUUCUUACCUAUAGAUAUCAACUUUUAACCAUAGAAAUUGAUAGAAAUUUUAACA